GGCUUGGGUCAAGACUCGUGAGAGCCCUGGUUUAGGCAUUAACCGGUCUGCAAUGAAAUUGAUUAAACGGCAAAUGAUUAUUUUUAUAUUUGGGCUUAACAAGAAGGCCCAUCACAUGUCAACCCAAAUAUUAUGCCAACUCCUUAAGGUAAUAAUACGGGAAAAAUGUCGUUUUAUACGUGAACUUUAAAAAAUGGCCAUUUAAUACGAAAAUUUUUGUGUGGCCAAAUAAAACAUAAUAAAAACGUUGACCGGCCGUUUCACACAAAUAUUAUUGUUGACUACGCCAAAGUCUCCAUGCCGUUAUCUUUCAUUAACGGAUCCGUUAAUUCCGUUAACACAUGUUAAUUAGUUUCCGUCAAUACUCAAAACGACGUCGUUUUAUUGAAAUCAAAAAAUCAAAAUUCCUAAAAUUGAUUUCAAAAUCUCUAAAUUCCAAAAAAACAAAUCCUUAAUUCCUAAAUUCCAAAAAUCAAAUCCCUAAAUUCUAAAAACCAAAUCCCUAACAGCCUCUUAUUUUCAGCAAUUGGUCGUCGUAAUAGUCAUCGUCGUAAAGAUCCUCAAGAGAGCUAAAGAAGGGCCUUCGCUUUGAUGUUUCCUCCUUGUUCAUCAUCGAUCUUGUUCCUCCCCCUUCGUGAAUUCAAACGAACAACUGCUGUCAAUAGUCGAAUGUUAUUAUUCAUAUUCAAAUUGGUUCUCAUGUGUGUGUGUUCGUAACAUUUUAUUCACAAGACAACAAAACAAAAACAGGGAAACUUCCAACAUGAUGAAAUAAGAUUAUGAGAGUGAGAAAAGAACCUUGGACAACGGGAUUGAGAUUCCUAAAGAAGAACAUGAUGUUGCCAUGUGAAGCAGAUGGAUUGAAGAAAAAUGAAUUGGAUUCCAUUUUGGAAUUUAGGGAUUUUGAAAUCAAUUUGGGAAUUUUGAUUUUUUGAUUUCAAUGAAAUGACGUCGUUUUGAGUAUUACAGGAAACUAAUUAACGUGUGGUAACGGAAUUAACGUAUCCGUUAGAAAAAGAUAACGGUAUGGGGAUUUUGGCCUGGUCAACAAUAACAUUUGUGUGAAACGACCGGUCAACAUUUUUAUUAUGUUUUAUUUGGCCACACAAAAAAUUCACGUAUUAAAUGGUCACUUUUUGAAAGUUUACGUAUAAAACGACAUUUUUCCCGUAAUACCGUAUACGCUGCAUUGAAACAUUCCAGUCCUAGUCACGUGCACGGUGCACCUACUAGCCCACGACUCCCACACUAUCCGCCACGUCAGAAAACGAAACCGGUUGUAGCAGGUAAAAGGCACACAAAGCUAAGCAUAAGGAAGCGCGCGACACGCACCGGUUCAGCCGGUACUCUGCGUCGAU
RNAcentral lists this small RNA (1358 nucleotides) under Arabidopsis thaliana (thale cress). RNAcentral's name for it is "ATSL135140". Lineage: Eukaryota; Viridiplantae; Streptophyta; Magnoliopsida; Brassicales; Brassicaceae. The record is from RNAcentral.